GAGUUUUAUUAUACCUACCUGUUGAUACGAUAUUUUAGGGAUUGCAUUUUCUAUCAUAAUUUACUUGACAGAGGGUUGCUGCUCACAAGGAAGCUAUUGAACCAAGAGUUCCAAAUUGUGAAGUUUAAAUAACUCCUUCAUAUAUUUUACAGACGCCAUCACGAGUUGGUCGACUGUUAUGGAAUAUCUGUUUCACCGAUGAGGCUGAUGAUGGAUAUGUCCAUAUUGUCGUAACUACAAUCCCGUCAUGUAUUCCCCGAAUGUGACGUGCCAAAUAAGACUUAUCAACGGGUUUGUACUUACAUGUGCCACAUAAAGAAAUUGAUCUGCUUACCCUUCCUGAGCAACCCUGUUAUUUCGAUAUAGGAAGAUGUGGUAUUAGUGCUGAUGAGACAACUCUCAAUCCAAGUCACAAUUUAUAAAAGUAAGCCAUUAUAGGUCAAGAUACGGUCUUCAGCACGGAGCCCUGGCUCACACCGAAUAGGAAGCUAUAUAUCCCCCAACAAUUUACUAGUGUUAAACCAUUCAAACGUGAAAACUAACGGUAUAAUCUAUGAUAUGGUUCAUGUUGCUCAGUCUUUCUACGUUAUGUUUAGUGUACUGUUGUUUUAUUUUUUGCGUUUUUUUUUCUUCUUUCUUUUUGCCAUGGCGUUGUUAGAUUAUUUCCGACUAAUGGCUUUCAAUGUCCAUUUGGAAUCUUUCAUCUCUCUCUCAUAGUCAAAUAUUGGCUGUUUUAUUUUUAUAAGGUAUCAGACAACAUUGUCAUGCGCAGUUUAAACAUCAUAACUUCGAGCACUUACCAUAGAAAAUAUUAUCGGAACAUGGAAAACAAGCAAUAAAAUGUUGAUUUUUUUCUUUUCAAAAUAUAUGUUAAGCGAAUUUUUGUUAACCCCAACAAAUACAACAUACAAGAUUCUUAAACCAAGGUAUGAUUGUACAUCACUAAGUCCUUUAAACCAAGGUAUGAUUGUACAUCACUAAGUCCUUUAAACCAAGGUAUGAUUGUACAUCACUAAGUCCUUUAAACCAAGGUAUGAUUGUACAUCACUAAGUCCUUUAAACAUAUGGUAUCACUAAGUCUUUAAACCAGUAUGAUUGUACAUCACUAAGUCCUUUAAACCAAGGUAUGAUUGUACAUCACUAAGUCCUUUAAACCAAGGUAUGAUUGUACAUCACUAAGUCCUUUAAACCAAGGUAUGACUGUACAUCACUAAGUCCUUUAAACCAAGGUAUUGUACAUCGCUAAGUCCUUUAAACCAGGUAUGAUUGUACAUCGCUAAGUCCUUUAAACCGAGGUAUGAUUGUACAUCGCCUAAGUCCUUUAAACCAGGUAUGAUUGUACAUCGCUAAGUCCUUUUAUGAUUGUACAUCGCUAAGGUCCUUUAAAACCAAGGUAUGAUUGUACAUCGCUAAGUCUUUAAACCAGGUAUGAUUGUACAUCGCUAAGUCCUUUAAACCAAGGUAUGAUUGUACAUCGCUAAGUCCUUUAAACCAAGGUAUGAUUGUACAUCGCUAAGUCCUUUAAACCAAGGUAUGAUUGUACAUCACUAAGUCCUUUAAACCAAGGUAUGAUUGUACAUCACUAAGUCCUUUAAACCAAGGUAUGAUUGUACAUCACUAAGUCCUAGGUAUGAUGUACAUCUAAUCUUUAAACCAAGGUAUGAUUGUACAUCACUAAGUCUUUAAACCAAAGAGAACGAUCAGAAGGACAAAUGGAC
This 1718-nucleotide long non-coding RNA is filed under the name Mytilus galloprovincialis (Mediterranean mussel). Lineage: Eukaryota; Metazoa; Mollusca; Bivalvia; Mytilida; Mytilidae. The record is from RNAcentral.